GACGAACGUUGGCGGCGUGCUUAACACAUGCAAGUCGAACGGAAAGGCCCUGCUUUUGUGGGGUGCUCGAGUGGCGAACGGGUGAGUAACACGUGAGCAACCUGCCCUUGACUUUGGGAUAACUUCAGGAAACUGGGGCUAAUACCGGAUAGGAGCUCCUGCUGCAUGGUGGGGGUUGGAAAGUUUCGGCGGUUGGGGAUGGACUCGCGGCUUAUCAGCUUGUUGGUGGGGUAGUGGCUUACCAAGGCUUUGACGGGUAGCCGGCCUGAGAGGGUGACCGGCCACAUUGGGACUGAGAUACGGCCCAGACUCCUACGGGAGGCAGCAGUGGGGAAUAUUGCACAAUGGGCGGAAGCCUGAUGCAGCAACGCCGCGUGCGGGAUGACGGCCUUCGGGUUGUAAACCGCUUUCGCCUGUGACGAAGCGUGAGUGACGGUAAUGGGUAAAGAAGCACCGGCUAACUACGUGCCAGCAGCCGCGGUGAUACGUAGGGUGCGAGCGUUGUCCGGAUUUAUUGGGCGUAAAGGGCUCGUAGGUGGUUGAUCGCGUCGGAAGUGUAAUCUUGGGGCUUAACCCUGAGCGUGCUUUCGAUACGGGUUGACUUGAGGAAGGUAGGGGAGAAUGGAAUUCCUGGUGGAGCGGUGGAAUGCGCAGAUAUCAGGAGGAACACCAGUGGCGAAGGCGGUUCUCUGGGCCUUUCCUGACGCUGAGGAGCGAAAGCGUGGGGAGCGAACAGGCUUAGAUACCCUGGUAGUCCACGCUGUAAACGGUGGGUACUAGGUGUGGGGUCCAUUCCACGGGUUCCGUGCCGUAGCUAACGCUUUAAGUACCCCGCCUGGGGAGUACGGCCGCAAGGCUAAAACUCAAAGGAAUUGACGGGGCCCCGCACAAGCGGCGGAGCAUGCGGAUUAAUUCGAUGCAACGCGUAGAACCUUACCUGGGUUUGACAUGGAUCGGGAGUGCUCAGAGAUGGGUGUGCCUCUUUUGGGGUCGGUUCACAGGUGGUGCAUGCCUGUCGUCAGCUCGUGUCGUGAGAUGUUGGGUUAAGUCCCGCAACGAGCGCAACCCUUGUUCACUGUUGCCAGCACGUUAUGGUGGGGACUCAGUGGAGACCGCCGGGGUCAACUCGGAGGAAGGUGGGGAUGACGUCAAGUCCUCAUGCCCCUUAUGUCCAGGGCUUCACGCAUGCUACAAUGGCUGGUACAGAGAGUGGCGAGCCUGUGAGGGUGAGCGAAUCUCGGAAAGCCGGUCUCAGUUCGGAUUGGGGUCUGCAACUCGACCUCAUGAAGUCGGAGUCGCUAGUAAUCGCAGAUCAGCAACGCUGCGGUGAAUACGUUCCCGGG
RNAcentral lists this ribosomal RNA (1343 nucleotides) under uncultured bacterium. RNAcentral's name for it is "16S ribosomal RNA". It matches the Rfam family "Bacterial small subunit ribosomal RNA", at positions 28 to 1378 of the family's 1533-position model. The record is from RNAcentral.